UACGGAGGAUGCGAGCGUUAUCCGGAUUUAUUGGGUUUAAAGGGUGCGUAGGCGGACGCUUAAGUCAGCGGUAAAAUUGCGGGGCUCAACCUCGUCGAGCCGUUGAAACUGGGUGCCUUGAGUGGGCGAGAAGUACGCGGAAUGCGUGGUGUAGCGGUGAAAUGCAUAGAUAUCACGCAGAACUCCGAUUGCGAAGGUAGCAUACCGGCGCCCUACUGACGCUGAAGCACGAAAGCGUGGGUAUCGAACAGG
This 252-nucleotide ribosomal RNA is filed under the name uncultured bacterium. RNAcentral describes it as "partial 16S ribosomal RNA". It matches the Rfam family "Bacterial small subunit ribosomal RNA", at positions 524 to 776 of the family's 1533-position model. The record is from RNAcentral.